Molecule: ribosomal RNA, 107 nt
Filed under: Candidatus Campbelliibacteriota bacterium
Lineage: Bacteria; Candidatus Campbelliibacteriota
Source: RNAcentral
UCUGGUGACGAAAUCGGAGGGGUCACACCCGUUCUCAUUCCGAACACGGAAGUUAAGCCCUCUUGAGGCGAUGAUACUCUCAUGGGGAAAGUAGCUUGUCGCCAGAG